GACGAACGCUGGCGGCGUGCUUAACACAUGCAAGUCGAACGGAAAGGCCCUGCUUUUGUGGGGUGCUCGAGUGGCGAACGGGUGAGUAACACGUGAGUAACCUGCCCUUGACUUUGGGAUAACUUCAGGAAACUGGGGCUAAUACCGGAUAGGAGCUCCUGCUGCAUGGUGGGGGUUGGAAAGUUUCGGCGGUUGGGGAUGGACUCGCGGCUUAUCAGCUUGUUGGUGGGGUAGUGGCUUACCAAGGCUUUGACGGGUAGCCGGCCUGAGAGGGUGAUCGGCCACACUGGAACUGAGACACGGUCCAGACUCCUACGGGAGGCAGCAGUAGGGAAUCUUCCGCAAUGGGCGAAAGCCUGACGGAGCAACGCCGCGUGAGUGAUGAAGGUCUUCGGAUCGUAAAACUCUGUUAUUAGGGAAGAACAAAUGUGUAAGUAACUAUGCACGUCUUGACGGUACCUAAUCAGAAAGCCACGGCUAACUACGU
This 487-nucleotide ribosomal RNA is filed under the name uncultured bacterium. RNAcentral's name for it is "partial 16S ribosomal RNA". It matches the Rfam family "Bacterial small subunit ribosomal RNA", at positions 28 to 506 of the family's 1533-position model. The record is from RNAcentral.